Molecule: long non-coding RNA, 618 nt
Organism: Lynx canadensis (Canada lynx)
Lineage: Eukaryota; Metazoa; Chordata; Mammalia; Carnivora; Felidae
Exons: 2
Source: RefSeq, a predicted model, not a curated record
CAGUCUGGCACAGCCCUGUUCCUCCUGGCGGGCAUGGGAGGGGGGAUCGGGGAUGGAAACCAAUUUCUAGGGUCUUCCAAGUAAACUACAGACUCCGGGAGCUGUGGACCAGAUCCAGGACUAGGAUGAGGACCCUUAAUGGCGUUCUGGAAUCCUGAAAAGCAGCCCCCAGAGGCUAGUGGAACAGCCCGGGGAGAAAUGCAGAAUGAGGAAGUUCAUCGCCUGGUCUCUAGGUGUGCUGCCCUCAAGCCUGAGAUUGGGCAGAUGCCACGACCUCCCUUCUGCCCAGCCCCAAGCGGUCUGCCUGGCUCCAACCACAGGGCAGCACGGGUAAACUGGAACUGAGCUGUUGUGUGCAAGUGUGGGUGGGGGUCAGGGAGCACAGAGAAGAGCACUGGGACUCCUAGUCUGCCUGGCACACCGAGUCACUUAGCCAUGCUGUGACCUGCCGGGGACCAGCUCUUCUUCAGCAGUGACAGAGCCAGAUCAAAGGGGACCUCAGCUACAGCAGGAGGGAUUUAGAUAAGCUAGCAAAAAGAACUUCCUGCCUGCAAAGAUUGUUAAGCCCUGGAAAGGGGAGCCUGGGAGUCUGUGGAAUCUUUUUGCUCCGAAAUCGUA